UUCUAAAAGAUGGUGAUAAGGUAAAGAUUAUAGUGAGCUUGAAGGGGCGUGAAAAUGAUUUUAGAAAUAAUGCCAUCGAGCUCAUCAGACGGUUUCAGAAUGAUAUUGGGGAGCUUGCCGUUGAGGAGAACAAGAGUUUCCGCGAUAGGAACAUCUUCAUAAUAUUGGUUCCUAAUAAAGCCGUUG
Molecule: long non-coding RNA, 186 nt
Organism: Olea europaea var. sylvestris
Lineage: Eukaryota; Viridiplantae; Streptophyta; Magnoliopsida; Lamiales; Oleaceae
Exons: 3
Source: RefSeq, a predicted model, not a curated record